This 713-nucleotide ribosomal RNA is filed under the name uncultured Micromonospora sp. Its description in RNAcentral is "bacterial SSU rRNA". It matches the Rfam family "Bacterial small subunit ribosomal RNA", at positions 54 to 786 of the family's 1533-position model. Lineage: Bacteria; Bacillati; Actinomycetota; Actinomycetes; Micromonosporales; Micromonosporaceae. The record is from RNAcentral.
CAUGCAGUCGAGCGGAAGGCCCUUCGGGGUACUCGAGCGGCGAACGGGUGAGUAACACGUGAGCAACCUGCCCCAGGCUUUGGGAUAACCCCGGGAAACCGGGGCUAAUACCGAAUAUGACCUCUGACCGCAUGGUUGGUGGUGGAAAGUUUUUCGGCUUGGGAUGGGCUCGCGGCCUAUCAGCUUGUUGGUGGGGUGAUGGCCUACCAAGGCGACGACGGGUAGCCGGCCUGAGAGGGCGACCGGCCACACUGGGACUGAGACACGGCCCAGACUCCUACGGGAGGCAGCAGUGGGGAAUAUUGCACAAUGGGCGGAAGCCUGAUGCAGCGACGCCGCGUGAGGGAUGACGGCCUUCGGGUUGUAAACCUCUUUCAGCAGGGACGAAGCGUAAGUGACGGUACCUGCAGAAGAAGCGCCGGCCAACUACGUGCCAGCAGCCGCGGUAAGACGUAGGGCGCGAGCGUUGUCCGGAUUUAUUGGGCGUAAAGAGCUCGUAGGCGGCUUGUCGCGUCGACCGUGAAAACUUGGGGCUCAACCCCAAGCCUGCGGUCGAUACGGGCAGGCUAGAGUUCGGUAGGGGAGACUGGAAUUCCUGGUGUAGCGGUGAAAUGCGCAGAUAUCAGGAGGAACACCGGUGGCGAAAGGCGGGUCUCUGGGCCGAUACUGACGCUGAGGAGCGAAAGCGUGGGGAGCGAACAGGAUUAGAUACC